This 2435-nucleotide ribosomal RNA is filed under the name human gut metagenome. RNAcentral describes it as "bacterial LSU rRNA". It matches the Rfam family "Bacterial large subunit ribosomal RNA", at positions 14 to 2470 of the family's 2925-position model. The record is from RNAcentral.
AGGGCGUAUGGGGAAUGCCUAGGCACACUCCGGCGAAGAAGGACGCAGCAAACAGCGAAAUGCGACGGUGAGCGGUAAGCACGUGAAGAGCCGUCGAUAUCCGAAUGGGGGAACCCACACGGAGUCAUAUCCGUGUAUCACAUGUCGAAUACAUAGACAUGAUGAGGCGAGACGCAGGGAACUGAAACAUCUAAGUACCUGCAGGAAGAGAAAAUAAGAAUGAUUUUCUGAGUAGCGGCGAGCGAAAGGGAAAGAGCCCAAACCGAUUUGAGGAUCGGGGUAGUAGGAUCAUCGAUAAAUCAAACAGAGGAUCAUAGAGGAAUCACAUGGGAAGGUGAGCGAGAGAGGGUGAGAGCCCCGUACUCGAAAUGAGAGACUGGAGAGAGAUGACACCUGAGUAGGGCGGGACACGAGAAAUCCUGUCUGAAUCAGCCGGGACCAUCCGGCAAGGCUAAAUACGAGAGAGUGACCGAUAGUGAACCAGUACCGUGAGGGAAAGGUGAAAAGAACCCCGGGAGGGGAGUGAAAGAGAACCUGAAACCAUAUGCCUACAAGAAGUCAGAGCCCGUUAAAGGGUGAUGGCGUGCCUUUUGUAGAAUGAACCGGCGAGUUACUGUAUGGAGCGAGGUUAAGCAGGAUAUGCGGAGCCGAAGCGAAAGCGAGUCUUAAGAGGGCGCGAGUUGCAUGCAGUAGACCCGAAACCGGGUGAUCUAGCCAUGACCAGGUUGAAGUUGGGGUAAAACCCGAUGGAGGACCGAACCGACCCCCGUUGAAACGUUGGCGGAUGAGUUGUGGCUAGGGGUGAAAUUCCAAUCGAACCCGGAGAUAGCUGGUUCUCCCCGAAAUAGCUUUAGGGCUAGCGUCGAGAGAAGAGUUGCGUGAAGGUAGAGCACUGAAUAUGUGAUGGCCCCAUCUCGGGGUACUGAGCAUAAUCAAACUGCGAAUGUCACGCCAACAUGCUCGGCAGUCAGACAGCGGGUGAUAAGGUCCGUUGUCAAGAGGGAAACAGCCCAGACCAUCAGCUAAGGUCCCAAAAUGUAUGCUAAGUGGAAAAGGAUGUGGAGAUGUACAGACAACUAGGAGGUUGGCUCAGAAGCAGCCAUCCUUUAAAGAGUGCGUAACAGCUCACUAGUCGAAUGACUCUGCGCCGAUAAUUUACCGGGGCUAAGCAUACUACCGAAGCUAUGGAUCCCAAGGGAUGGUAGGGGAGCGUUCCAUGAACGGAGAAGUACGACCGAAAGGACGUGUGGAGAUCAUGGAAGAGAGAAUGCCGGUGUGAGUAGCGGAACGUGGGUGAGAAUCCCACGCACCGAAAACCCAAGGUUUCCAGAGGAAGGUUCGUCCGCUCUGGGUAAGUCGGGACCUAAGGCGAGGCCGAAAGGCGUAGUCGAUGGACAACAGGUAGAGAUUCCUGUACCCGUAUAUAUGUGAAGGAAUGACGGAGAGAGGAAGCUGCAGCCAGCGGCUGGAAGAGCUGGUGCAAGCGAGAUAUCGGGAUGGCAGGCAAAUCCACCAUCCGAAACGAGAAGGCGUGAAGCGUACGGAAAGCUACGGCGAGUACGGAAGGCAGUGGAGGAACUUCCAAGAAAAGUUUCUAACGUUAAGUAUAUAUGGCCCGUACCGAAAAUGGACACACAUGGGUGAGGAGAGAAUCCUAAGGUGAGCGAGAGAACUAUAGCUAAGGAACUCUGCAAAAUGACUCCGUAACUUAGGGAGAAGGAGUGCUCAUAGAGAUAUGAGCCGCAGUGAAACGGCCCAAGCGACUGUUUACCAAAAACACAGCUCUCUGCUAAGCCGCAAGGCGAAGUAUAGGGGGUGACGCCUGCCCGGUGCUGGAAGGUUAAGGGGAGGGGGUAACGCAAGUGAAGCCCUGAACUGAAGCCCCAGUAAACGGCGGCCGUAACUAUAACGGUCCUAAGGUAGCGAAAUUCCUUGUCAGGUAAGUUCUGACCCGCACGAAAGGCGUAACGAUUUGGGCGCUGUCUCAGCUGUAGACUCGGUGAAGUCUUAGUACCUGUGAAGAUGCAGGUUACCCGCGACUAGACGGAAAGACCCCAUGGAGCUUCACUGCAGGUUGAUAUUGGGAUUUGAUGCAGCAUGUACAGGAUAGGUAGGAGGCAAAGAGAUGGAUACGCCAGUAUUCAAGGAGCCGCUGUUGGGAUACUACCCCUGUUGUAUUGGAUUUCUAACCGGACGACGUAGAGCCGUUGACGGGACAGUGUCAGUCGGGCAGUUUGACUGGGGCGGUCGCCUCCCAAAGAGUAACGGAGGCGCCCAAAGAUACCCUCAGCUUGGAUGGAAACCAAGCGCAGAGUGCAAAGGCAAAAGGGUGUUUGACUGCGAGACCCACAAGUCGAGCAGGGACGAAAGUCGGGCUUAGUGAUCCGGCGGUGCUGAAUGGAAAGGCCGUCGCUCAACGGAUAAAAGCUACCCUG